UGCUGCUAUAAACAUGCCUGUGCAAGUAUU
RNAcentral lists this non-coding RNA (30 nucleotides) under Homo sapiens (human). Lineage: Eukaryota; Metazoa; Chordata; Mammalia; Primates; Hominidae. The record is from RNAcentral.